This 384-nucleotide ribosomal RNA is filed under the name Klebsiella pneumoniae. RNAcentral describes it as "bacterial LSU rRNA". It matches the Rfam family "Bacterial large subunit ribosomal RNA", at positions 944 to 1326 of the family's 2925-position model. The record is from RNAcentral. Lineage: Bacteria; Pseudomonadati; Pseudomonadota; Gammaproteobacteria; Enterobacterales; Enterobacteriaceae.
CCGAUGCAAACUACGAAUACCGAAGAAUGUUAUCACGGGAGACACACGGCGGGUGCUAACGUCCGUCGUGAAGAGGGAAACAACCCAGACCGCCAGCUAAGGUCCCAAAGUCAUGGUUAAGUGGGAAACGAUGUGGGAAGGCACAGACAGCCAGGAUGUUGGCUUAGAAGCAGCCAUCAUUUAAAGAAAGCGUAAUAGCUCACUGGUCGAGUCGGCCUGCGCGGAAGAUGUAACGGGGCUAAACCAUGCACCGAAGCUGCGGCAGCGACACUAUGUGUUGUUGGGUAGGGGAGCGUUCUGUAAGCCUGCGAAGGUGUGCUGUGAGGCAUGCUGGAGGUAUCAGAAGUGCGAAUGCUGACAUAAGUAACGAUAAAGCGGGUGAAA